AGCGUAAAGNNGUUUUGNUNCCCCNCUGCUUUUAUGGUGAACGCUGGCGGCUCUGUUUUGACACAUGCNAAGUCGAACGGCAUUUUGGGGAGAAGCUUGCUUUUCCUGCCGGCGAGUGGCGAACGGGUGAGUAAUACAUCGGAACGUGCCCUGUAGUGGGGGAUAACUAGUCGAAAGAUUAGCUAAUACCGCAUACGACCUGAGGGUGAAAGUGGGGGACCGCAAGGCCUCAUGCUAUAGGAGCGGCCGAUGUCUGAUUAGCUAGUUGGUGGGGUAAAGGCCUACCAAGGCGACGAUCAGUAGCUGGUCUGAGAGGACGAUCAGCCACACUGGGACUGAGACACGGCCCAGACUCCUACGGGAGGCAGCAGUGGGGAAUUUUGGACAAUGGGCGAAAGCCUGAUCCAGCAAUGCCGCGUGUGUGAAGAAGGCCUUCGGGUUGUAAAGCACUUUUGUCCGGAAAGAAAUGGCUCUGGUUAAUACCUGGGGUCGAUGACGGUACCGGAAGAAUAAGGACCGGCUAACUACGUGCCAGCAGCCGCGGUAAUACGUAGGGUCCAAGCGUUAAUCGGAAUUACUGGGCGUAAAGCGUGCGCAGGCGGUUGUGCAAGACCGAUGUGAAAUCCCCGAGCUUAACUUGGGAAUUGCAUUGGUGACUGCACGGCUAGAGUGUGUCAGAGGGGGGUAGAAUUCCACGUGUAGCAGUGAAAUGCGUAGAGAUGUGGAGGAAUACCGAUGGCGAAGGCAGCCCCCUGGGAUAACACUGACGCUCAUGCACGAAAGCGUGGGGAGCAAACAGGAUUAGAUACCUUGGUAGUCCACCCCCGCCCUAAACGAUGUCAAACUAGUUGUUGGGGAUUCAUUUGUUUUCCCCCGGGUCGAAAAAACGUAGCAAAAUAANCGCGGCUGAGAGUUGACCGCCCUGGGGAGUACGGGUCGCAAGAUUAAACCAUAAA
RNAcentral lists this ribosomal RNA (956 nucleotides) under Ralstonia pickettii. RNAcentral describes it as "bacterial SSU rRNA". It matches the Rfam family "Bacterial small subunit ribosomal RNA", at positions 1 to 905 of the family's 1533-position model. Lineage: Bacteria; Pseudomonadati; Pseudomonadota; Betaproteobacteria; Burkholderiales; Burkholderiaceae. The record is from RNAcentral.